RNAcentral lists this ribosomal RNA (253 nucleotides) under uncultured bacterium. RNAcentral describes it as "partial 16S ribosomal RNA". It matches the Rfam family "Bacterial small subunit ribosomal RNA", at positions 524 to 776 of the family's 1533-position model. The record is from RNAcentral.
UACGGAGGGUGCGAGCGUUAAUCGGAAUUACUGGGCGUAAAGCGCGCGUAGGCGGUUCGUUAAGUCCGCUGUGAAAGCCCUGGGCUUAACCUGGGAACGGCAGAGGAUACUGGCGAGCUAGAGUAUGGUAGAGGAGAGUGGAAUUUCCGGUGUAGCAGUGAAAUGCAUAGAGAUCGGAAGGAACACCAGUGGCGAAGGCGACUCUCUGGACCAAUACUGACGCUGAGGUGCGAAAGCGUGGGGAGCAAACAGG